Molecule: long non-coding RNA, 444 nt
Filed under: Olea europaea subsp. europaea
Lineage: Eukaryota; Viridiplantae; Streptophyta; Magnoliopsida; Lamiales; Oleaceae
Source: RNAcentral
ACACCUUCUAUAUUGAUCAUGUACUGCUGGGCAAUAGUUGUCAAACCACCUCUUGGACGAUGAUGUAACUCGAUAUACAUUCUUAGUCACAGUGAAUGAAAAACUAAUACCGCCUAGGAUUUCUUUUCCCCGCAAAGAAGAAGGGAAUAAUAAUUGCAUAAACAGGAAGGAAUUUGACAUACCUUGAAGACGACUUAUAGGACUCGCAAUCCGCUAAACUUUGUAAACAAUUUAGACAAAGGGCAAAAAAUCAGAGAAAAUACAAAGUUUUAGCUGCGGGAGAGGCAAUAGAUUUGUUUAGACAGAGGAGAAGAGAAGGAAAGGGUUCAGCGAUAGGAGGCGGGAAAGUGUAUGGAAUAAUGGGCUGAAACGUUACAUUUGAUGCUUAAUUAUAGUGGGCUGAAUGCUACUAAUUACUAUUAUAUUAACUCAAGUAUAAAAUUU